CGUCAAAUCAUCAUGCCCUUUAUGUCCUGGGCUACACACGUACUACAAUGGCCUGUACAAAGGGUAGCGAAGCCGUGAGGUGGAGCCAAUCCCAAAAAGCAGGUCUCAGUUCGGAUUGCAGGCUGCAACUCGCCUGCAUGAAGUCGGAAUCGCUAGUAAUCGCGGAUCAGCAUGCCGCGGUGAAUACGUUCCCGGGCCUU
This 200-nucleotide ribosomal RNA is filed under the name uncultured organism. RNAcentral describes it as "partial small subunit ribosomal RNA". It matches the Rfam family "Bacterial small subunit ribosomal RNA", at positions 1183 to 1382 of the family's 1533-position model. The record is from RNAcentral.